CAAUGUUUAGACUACAGCCUGGACAACCCCCUGUCUCCACAUCUCCUCAAUGUUUAGACUACAGCCUGGACAAGCCCCGCCACCACACCAUCAGUUAGGGGUCUGUGUGUGUUUCUUUGUGUUAGUGAAGUGUUUCAGAACAAGUCCUGUGAAAUCACAUACCUGAGUAUUCUGUGAGAGAGGAGAGGAGAUAGAGAGAUUAAGAGACAGAAUGGGAGACGGGAGAAAAAAAGAGGGAGAGAGAAAGGGGGGGAUAGUGGGAGAGAAAGAGACCGAGAGAGGUGUGGGAGAGAGGGAGAGAGAAAGGGGGGAUAGUGGGAGAGAAAGAGACCGAGAGAGGUAGAGAGCAAAGGGAUACACAUAUCCAAAUGAUUCACCAAUUACACAGCCACGGUACAUAUAGUAUUUAUAUAUCACCACUAACACGGUACAUGUAGUAUUUUGUACCACACCACACGCGACUGGGGGCACCUUAUUAAUUGGGGAGGAAGGGCUCAUAGUGAUGGGAGGAAUGUGGUGAAGUGACUGGUAUCAAACACAUGGUUUCCUUCUGUUUUACAACCCUUCCACUCCUGACAUUAUGAGCCGUCCUCCCCAACAGCCUCCUGUGGUUUUACUAUUAUACUAUUCAGACAUUAUGAGCCGUCCUCCCCAACAGCCUCCUGUGGUUUUACUAUUAUACUAUUCAGACAUUAUGAGCCGUCCUCCCCAACAGCCUCCUGUGGUUUUACUAUUAUACUAUUAAGACAUUAUGAGCCCUCCUCCCCAACAGCCUCCUGUGGUUUUACUAUUAUACUAUUCAGACAUUAUGAGCCGUCCUCCCCAACAGCCUCCUGUGGUUUUACUAUUAUACUAUUCAGACAUUAUGAGCCGUCCUCCCCAACAGCCUCCUGUGGUUUUACUAUUAUACUAUUCAGACAUUAUGAGCCCUCCUCCCCAACAGCCUCCUGUGGUUUUACUAUUAUACUAUUCAGACAUUAUGAGCCGUC
Long non-coding RNA from Oncorhynchus keta (chum salmon), 989 nucleotides. RefSeq lists it as uncharacterized. The record is from RefSeq and is a predicted model, not a curated record. The transcript is spliced from 2 exons. NCBI's taxonomy places the organism in Eukaryota, Metazoa, Chordata, Actinopteri, Salmoniformes, Salmonidae.